UUGGGCUACCGUAAUCUCUCUUUUUGUAUCCAUAAUACAGCUCUCACUUUUUAUACCCCUGAGGGAAAAGAUUGAAAAAACCGACGGGCGAGCACCUCUCCGAGCGCGGGCGAGAUUUCUUUUGAGAUCCAAUCGAUCGCCGGAAAUGCCUGUGAGAGUGGUCGAGAGCUCGACUACUUCGCAAGUUUCAGGACAAGAUGCAAGUUCUGGACAUUCUCUACCUCCUGCUUGUACACUUUUAAGUGUUGGACGGGCUUUUGCGGGAACUCAGAAUGUUUCGAGUUUACAGAAAGAUGAAGCGUGGAAAGUUAAUGUAAGGAUCCAAGGAUGUGAUCUUGAUAAUGGUUAUCUAUGUGGUACGAUGGAGGCACUCAAUGUUCCUUUAGCGGACACACCUGUAGUUACAUUCUGGGAGGGAGAAAUUGUUGACAAUAAGAACUAUACAUUUUUCACUGGCAAGUGGGAAGCAACGCCAGAGGAUGACAUAAGGCACUGGUCCAAGUUUCCAUCUUUUGCUCCACUUCUGAGCCAGGUUGAGGCUGAUGGUGGUAAAUCUUUGGACCUGAGCAACUACCCUUACAUAUUUAUGAGAUGGAAGGAGCAGUACUUUGUUAAUGUUGGAAUAGACUGCGGCUUGACUAUUGCUGGCUUCUAUUAUGUUUGCUUUUCCUGCAGUGAUGGCUCUAUUAAUGGCUUUUAUUACGAUCCAAACAGUAGAUUUGACAUUGUUCUCACAAAUUUUUGGUUGACAAACUGCAGCCCAUUUCAGAAGCUUGAACUAAAGUGCAGCAAUGAGAAGCACUUAGGUUUCACUUUUUCUUCAUAUCAGUUACAGUGAACCAAUUUUCUUGAUCAUAAAAAGCUAUCUGUGCGUUAGUUUCCAUCUUCUGGUUACUGUAACAGUUUAAUCUGCUGAUACUGUUUAGGCUUUUGGAUCUUUGAACAGCAAUCUUGUGUCACCAAAUGAUAAUUAUAUUUAAAACCACUUCAUCUCUUUUACCGGGCAUUCCAAACUUCAUGUUUUACAUUUCUGAAGAUUGCCCACUACGUGCAUCCAAUGAACCUUGUGACAGGGAAGCUCCUAGUGGGAGAUUAAUAUGAUUGAGGUUCGUUCCUAUGGUAUGUUUUGAUAGGAAAGUGCCAGCCCGAAACCAUUUUGACCAUUAUUAAAGCUGCAAAAUAUUAUUAAUGUAAAACAUAAGAAUUGAUCCAUAGUAAAAUUAAUAUGUUAUAUUAACUGAUAUUGACUGUUAUUGCAGUAAGUAAUGGGCUCUAAUAUGUAGCAGCAUUGUAUUAUUUUUAGUACUUGACUAUACAUGCAAAGGAAACAGAAAAUUAAUAUCAGCGUCUGGCAAUGCACCCACUAGUAUGUAGCACAUUCUAUUUGCAUUGCCAUGUCAAGGGAAGGAGUGUCUGCUGGCUAGCUGUGAUCUUCCUAUCAGCAAGUAUAAUUUUUGGAAUCAUGGGUUGCCAUUGAAUUUCCUUUUGUGUGCAUUAAUAUGUAUUAGCUGAAGAGAGAGCAUUGAAAUGGUUGCAUCACAUAAACAGCGAGUGGCUUUGCUUGGAAAGGAUGUUAGGCAGCUUCCAACUUACGGUGUGACAGAUGGCCAUUUUAUAGCAUACACUUCGAUGAUUCACCUGACCAUUAAGAUCCAAUAAUGCAGACGCGUGUACUGGAAACUGAGAUGUGGUGAAAAUGAACUCGCUCUGCUGACUUUAUGUUGAUCUGCCGCCUCUCGUCCAUCUGAUUCCCACAGAAACCGAUAUGAGAUUGCCUGUUACAGAUUCUUGUUCUGUGAAGGGCUUAGAAAUAUAUGGCAGGUGUCAUAAGAUCAUGCAGCCUCCUGUGACGGAACGAGUGCUACUGCUGCUGCUCCUCUCCAGAAUAAGGCUGAGAUGUUACAAAGAUGUUACUGGCCACCCACCAGUUUCAUCGCUGCAGGUCAAAAUCCAAUCACCAGAAGCUAAAGGCUGAAACUUUAGUUUAGUGACCUGGGGUUAUCUUAAGGGCAUUGGCUUGCGAAGGCAUCUCGAGUGUAUCUCUGAAAUGUUUCUAUACUUGAAGAAUGCGCUUAUACGGGAGUUAGGAUCCUUUUUUUUUUGGGUCAAAAGUUAGGAUCCUUUUCAGUUUCGCGACUGAGCAUUAGUCCAGCUUUGACUUCAGUGCACUAUAACAUGUUUGGAGACCCAGGAUUCAUAUCAGAAUCUCAUAGCACACAAACACAGCAACAUUGAGAUAAAGGGAUAUCAGAAGAUCACCUACAAAAUGUUCAAAACCAGGAAAUUACUGCUACCCAACGUCCACUUCUUGAUGACCUGAACGGUGAUUUCCGCCGGUCCUGUUGAUAAAGUGUGCGUAUGUACAUGCCGGAGCCUCUCAGGUGGUGUAUGCUUGCAGUCUCCUUCCGCGAAUUUCAACAUCUUCUGCAAUUUAGUCUAAUUCACUGCAUUGCCAAAAUUUCUACCGUUACGUACUGCCAUGUACACACGUACCUGUACGAGGAUUCGUGGAGCCCGGGAUGGAUGACACAUGCGCUUGAAGAUUCGUGAAAACUGGGUUGGAUGACUCCGAUGCAUGAAGAUUUAUAGGAACUGGGAUGGGUGACACGUGUGCGUGAAGAUUUGCAGAAAUUGGGGGAGGUGCCUCGUGUGCAUGAGGAUUCGUAGAAACCGGGAUUGGUCCCUGACGUGCGGAAACUGGGAUUUGUGUCCCAUGUAGCUCUUCCCCUCCCCGCAAAGAAGAGGCCGCUUCCUUCACCUUCUCCGCUAUGCCCACUUCACCAGCCUUCCUCGGGCUCACAGCCUCUGUGAUCACCUGACAGAGUGCUCUAUCUUCUU
Non-coding RNA from Phoenix dactylifera (date palm), 2838 nucleotides. The record is from RefSeq and is a predicted model, not a curated record. Lineage: Eukaryota; Viridiplantae; Streptophyta; Magnoliopsida; Arecales; Arecaceae.